This is a long non-coding RNA of Daphnia magna, 1252 nucleotides long. RefSeq lists it as uncharacterized. The record is from RefSeq and is a predicted model, not a curated record. Lineage: Eukaryota; Metazoa; Arthropoda; Branchiopoda; Diplostraca; Daphniidae. The transcript is spliced from 3 exons.
CAAUAUGGUAAGAGGUUGCCGCUUGUUUUUAUUCUUCCCUCCCGUUUUUUUUUUUUAAUUUUUUAUUGACCACCAGUUGUGAGCGGUUUUGCGUGCAAAACAUAAAAAUGAUUGAGAUGGCGAUGUUUGAUUCGCUUGAGAGAACGUCUCAAACAUUGUUCCCACACACCCCAAAAAGGGCGGGUCGGCCACCUCCCCCCAGCACCAAUACUCGCACACGAUUCAAUCGGCGAUAUUUACAUCGAGCGAAUCGUAACUCUGAAUUUCCCAAAAAGAAAUCGACAAAAAUUCAAAGAGAGUUUCUAUCGACUUGGACGAAGCUGCAGCAAUGGAAUGUCUGGCUCAAUUAAGCGAUGACAGGUCUCUCUUGUUCUCUUUCCUGCCUUCGUCGAUGACCGCCCUUCCCCAUUCACACUCUUCAACAGGAAAAAAGAAUAACCAACACAAACGGGAAGAAAACAAAAAUUGCCUGGUCGGAGGGACGAAACGCAGGUUGGACAUAAAACAACACGACUCCAAUGAGGCACUCAAAGGCACAUUUUUUUUUUUCCUUCUCCUUCGCUUUGUGCGUGUUGUUCUUUUUUAAAAGUUAUUUAAAAAAAUUUUCAAAAAAAAACAAAAAAAAAAACGUUCGCUCGAUAGUUUUCGUGUUGAAUGCUCUGCGGGCUCCUCUUUGCGAUGCUAUACACAUACAGGGGCGGUAUUUAUAUAUGUAUUUUCCUUUUAAUUACCCCUCCCUCUACUACACACACACACAUACACACACAAAAGAUAGGGGGGGAAAAUCUUGAUUAAUUGUACUUCGAAACGCUGUUGACCUCAAUGGCCAAAGGGGCAGUUGUUUUGUGUGUUAUUUGCUCUCUCCUUUCUCUAUCUCGUGUGUGUGUGUGUGUGUGUAUUUCACGACGUGCGCUUUCGUUCAGGAAUUCUAUCAAUAUUUGAGGGCACGUCUACGUAACGUGGAGAAAACGAACCGGACAGACGACCUUCUCGGCGCGUCCUUGCCGAAGCCCAUCAGCAAAAAGGUGCUGGUUCCAUGGUGGACGCAUGUGCUAACGCCCAGUGUCAACAACAAAAAGAAUUUGAACCGAGCCAUAGAGUCCGGUGCGCACAACCUCCAAAAUUGGAAUGCCAUUGAAGCGAGCGGCUCUCUCAUUUCUUGCUUUUAUUUAAUUUGUUUGUUUUGUUUUUUUUUAAUCUUGCGAAAUUAAAAUAAGCUGAAAUAAAAUCACAAACCAAAUAAUAAUAUUUA